RNAcentral lists this ribosomal RNA (253 nucleotides) under uncultured bacterium. RNAcentral describes it as "partial 16S ribosomal RNA". It matches the Rfam family "Bacterial small subunit ribosomal RNA", at positions 524 to 776 of the family's 1533-position model. The record is from RNAcentral.
UACGGGGGGGGCAAGCGUUGUUCGGAAUUACUGGGCGUAAAGGGCUCGUAGGCGGCCAACUAAGUCGGAUGUGAAAUCCCCAGGCUUAACCUGGGAACUGCAUCCGAUACUGGAUGGCUUGAAUCCGGGAGAGGGAUGCGGAAUUCCAGGUGUAGCGGUGAAAUGCGUAGAUAUCAGGAGGAACACCGGUGGCGAAGGCGGAUCUCUGGGCCGUAACUGACGCUGAGGAGCGAAAGCAUGGGGAGCGAACAGG